UCAAGCAGGGACUGGAUGUGGGAGAGUCUAGAAAGCUUCCCUUCCAAAAAGAUAGGACAGUUUCUCUAAUCAACAAUUCCCAGUGUCUGAGUUUGCAGAUCAAGAUGUGAGCUCUCAGCUGCUACAGCCAACAUGCCUACUGUUUGCUACCAUGCUGCUGAUGUAUUAUGGACUCCCAACCCUCAAUAAUUGAGGAAAGGGAAGUGACUCAACAUGAAAGAAGUGGGACUUCCACAGUGAUCACAAGUUUUGAGUAUUCAUAAGAUCCUGUUACUAGAAUGUUCCUUUGCUGAAGUUGCUUCCUAAGGGUCAUGGCAAUUAUUAUACAGCCCAGCCAAAUUUAGUCUUGAACGACUCCACCUACAGAUUUCUAUGAUAAGCAUCUUCACCUUCUAAAUUCUCCCACUCAUCCAAGGGUUGAAUUUACAAAAAUGAGUCAGAGGUUAAGUGAACAGAAUCAUGUUCAUGUUAGGACUACCCUGAGUCUUCCCACACCUCAGCCUUCAAUGUCUUCUGGUCCUUUCCUGGUGCUGAAGGAUCUUGAUUCAAGAUCUUCACAAAUAUAAAACAGAAACAAAAGAAUGAAGAACAAAAAUUCAGACAAAAGAAGGGAGCUGGCAAAAGACAUUUGCUAAAAACAUAUCUCUACCCCUGGUAUUGGCAAUAUGCUGCAGAGGAGAGCAGAAACAACCACGGGGAGUAAACUCUACCUGGGACCACUAUGCAUUUAAA
Molecule: long non-coding RNA, 732 nt
Organism: Mesocricetus auratus (golden hamster)
Lineage: Eukaryota; Metazoa; Chordata; Mammalia; Rodentia; Cricetidae
Exons: 6
Source: RefSeq, a predicted model, not a curated record